Papio anubis (olive baboon) is the source of this 104-nucleotide small nuclear RNA. The record is from Ensembl. Lineage: Eukaryota; Metazoa; Chordata; Mammalia; Primates; Cercopithecidae.
GUGCUCACUUUGGCAGCAUGUAUAAUAAAAUUGGAACGAUACAGAGAUUAGCAUGGCGCCUUCGCAAGGAUGACAUGCAAAUUCGUGAAGUGUUCCAUAUUUUU